UGCAGCCUGCACAGGCUUGUUGACGAGCUUGCCCUCUCCCACACAGGACUUCCCAGAGCCUCCAGGUGCACAGAGGAGGCACCCAAAGUGACCAUAUGCACAUCUGAGGCAGGGAGGCUGCUCACUCUUCCCAGGUCCUGUUCCUGCAUGAGGAUGGGGGCUUCCUUCUCAGGUCACACAGCCAGUGGACAGGGCAGGCAGCUGCCUCCUGACCUCCCUGCCUCCUGCCUGGGGAGGAGGAAUCUAUCUGGUGACACUAAUGAAGAGGGAUCCUUUUCUUCAGGAUACUUGAGCGUUGUGCUCCCAGGAAAGACUUCUAUCCACAUCAGCCCUGCCAUCAUCCAGCAGCUGCUGAGCGCCCGCCCGGUGCAGCCCAGCCCUGCAGAGAGGACAGCUCUGCUGACAGCAGCAACUUCGCAUCUGCUCCAACACCCCAGUUGCCCUGCUCCUGUUCUCCCCUGGUUCCAAAGUGUCCUUUUGCUUGCUUUUCAUUUAUGGUGGCAUCUCAGGCCGCCUUGCUUCCGUUCAGAGCCCAAACCAGGGCAAGUCCCAUCACAGGAUGCUUGUCAGCCACAGAGAAGAGCUUCUGAGAGUCCUUGAGUUUGGCCCUUUAUGGUGUCAGGGAGUCUCUGGGCUGUAUGUCCUUCCACAUUAACAAGGACCCAAAGCUAAGAAAGAAGACUUGUAGCAAGUUUCCCAGGAGGAAUUCUGUGGAAGAAUAUCUCCCCUAGGUUCCAUGGGUUUAGGACAAAGACCACAACGUAGGAGCCAGGAAACCCA
Molecule: long non-coding RNA, 780 nt
Filed under: Ictidomys tridecemlineatus (thirteen-lined ground squirrel)
Lineage: Eukaryota; Metazoa; Chordata; Mammalia; Rodentia; Sciuridae
Description: lncRNA (ENSSTOG00000031450.1)
Source: RNAcentral